AUUUUCUCCCAUUCUUCCUUGCAGCUUUUUUCAAGCUCUGUUGAGUUAGAUGAGGAGCAGUAGUGAACAGCAAUCUUCAAGUCUUUCCACAGAUUUUCAAUGGGAUUCAAGGCUGGGCUUUAGCUGGGCCACUCAAGGACUUUCACAUUCUUGUUCUGAAGUCAUUCCAGCGUUGCUUUGGCUGUGUGCUUGGGGUCAUUGUCCUGUUGGAAAGUCAUCUUCACCCCAGUCUAAGGUCGUUUGCACUCUGAAGCAUGUUCUCAUUAAGGAUUUGUCUUUAUUUGGCUUAGAGCUUUUCCCCACAAAAAAAAAUGUAUAAAUUGGUCGACCGAGAGUCGUCUGUUUUUUUUUACCAAUCUGUAAAUGGUCGAAAUGUUUAAACGUGUAUUUUUCCAUAUGUGUUUGAAUAAAAAUCAACUAUAUGCACUGAGCUUGUCUGAUGCUUUAAGCGCACCAUUUGAUGAAAUAAUUAAGACAAACAAAUGACUGAAGAGGGAGCCCGAUGGCCACACUGUGUUAAAAAGAAAUGAAAGCAAGUGCUUGUGUGACAGGCGCACGUUGUCUCUCUCUCUUCCCUACUGCAGUGAACAGGCCCCACACCACAGUAAGUGUUUAUCUCUGUCUCUCUCCUCCCUACUGCAGUGAACAGGCCCCACACCACAGUGUUUAUCUCUGUUGUCUCUCUCUCCUCCCUACUACAGUGAACAGGCCCCACACCACAGUGUUUAUCUCUGUUGUCUCUCUCUCCUCCCUACUACAGUGAACAGGCCCCACACCACAUGUUUAUCUCUCUCUCCUCCCUACUGCAGUGAACAGGCCCCACACCACAGUGUUUAUCUCUGUCUCCUCCCUACUGCAGUGAACAGGCCCCACACCACAGUGUUUAUCUCUGUCUCCUCCCUACUGCAGUGAACAGGCCCCACACCACAGUGUUUAUCUCCGCUGUCCAUGCUGAAGCUGCACCAUAAUUACACCCAUUGUUGUUUCUUACUUGUUUCUCUGACUCAAAAAGUCUGUUACCAAAAUACAUAAUUUGUUUCGGAA
Molecule: long non-coding RNA, 1044 nt
Organism: Oncorhynchus tshawytscha (Chinook salmon)
Lineage: Eukaryota; Metazoa; Chordata; Actinopteri; Salmoniformes; Salmonidae
Source: Ensembl